RNAcentral lists this ribosomal RNA (490 nucleotides) under uncultured bacterium. RNAcentral describes it as "partial 16S ribosomal RNA". It matches the Rfam family "Bacterial small subunit ribosomal RNA", at positions 29 to 507 of the family's 1533-position model. The record is from RNAcentral.
AGUGAACGCUGGCGGUAGGCCUAACACAUGCAAGUCGAACGGCAGCACAGGAGAGCUUGCUCUCUGGGUGGCGAGUGGCGGACGGGUGAGGAAUACAUCGGAAUCUGCCCAGUCGUGGGGGAUAACGUAGGGAAACUUACGCUAAUACCGCAUACGACCUUCGGGUGAAAGAGGGGGAUCGCAAGACCUCUCGCGAUUGGAUGAGCCGAUGUCGGAUUAGCUAGUUGGCGGGGUAAUGGCCCACCAAGGCGACGAUCCGUAGCUGGUCUGAGAGGAUGAUCAGCCACACUGGAACUGAGACACGGUCCAGACUCCUACGGGAGGCAGCAGUGGGGAAUAUUGGACAAUGGGCGCAAGCCUGAUCCAGCCAUACCGCGUGGGUGAAGAAGGCCUUCGGGUUGUAAAGCCCUUUUGUUGGGAAAGAAAUCUUUCAGGCUAAUACCCUGGGAGGAUGACGGUACCCAAAGAAUAAGCACCGGUUAACUUCGUG